Molecule: ribosomal RNA, 253 nt
Filed under: uncultured bacterium
Lineage: Bacteria
Description: partial 16S ribosomal RNA
Rfam family: Bacterial small subunit ribosomal RNA
Source: RNAcentral
UACGAAGGGGGCUAGCGUUGCUCGGAAUCACUGGGCGUAAAGCGCACGUAGGCGGACUCUUAAGUCAGGGGUGAAAUCCUGGAGCUCAACUCCAGAACUGCCUUUGAUACUGAGAGCCUUGAGUUCGGGAGAGGUGAGUGGAACUGCGAGUGUAGAGGUGAAAUUCGUAGAUAUUCGGAAGAACACCAGUGGCGAAGGCGACUCGCUGGACAAGUAUUGACGCUGAGGUGCGAAAGCGUGGGGAGCAAACAGG